Molecule: ribosomal RNA, 537 nt
Filed under: Triticum aestivum (bread wheat)
Lineage: Eukaryota; Viridiplantae; Streptophyta; Magnoliopsida; Poales; Poaceae
Description: partial small subunit ribosomal RNA
Source: RNAcentral
AUGGAGUCGCUGAAGCAGCAUCUACAUCGGGCCAGGCAGAUUAUGAAAGACAAGGCGGACAAGAAACGAUCUGAUCGCACCUUUGCGGUUGGCGAUUGGGUCUAUCUCAAACUGCAGCCCUAUGCCCAGUCUUCCGUCGCCGCCCGAGCUAACCACAAGUUGGCUUUUCGUUACUUCGGUCCAUUUCAGGUACCGGGACGCGUUGGAGAGGUGGCAUAUCGGCUGGACUUGCCGGAACGUGCAAAAUUCCACCCGUUCAUCCAUGUGUCUCAGCUGCGAGCAGACGUGCCACCAUCUACGCCGAUUCUGCCGGAAUUACCAUUACUCGAUGAAGAUCUGCUGCCAUUCCAAGUUCCGGCAAGCAUCCUGAAGCGGCGCAUCGUCACACGGGGCGUCAAGCAAAUCGCGCAAGUCCAAGUGCAAUGGUCUGGGUUCCCUCUCACGCUGGCGACCUGGGAAGAUGAAGAAGCACUCAGAACAAGAUUUCCGCGAGCGUUGGCUUGGGGCCUAGGACUAUAUCAUGUUUCAAGCAUAUAG